AGGAAGUGGACCUUAAAAAAGAGAGUGAUUUUGCCCCAGUUCUUGUCUUUCGACUCUUCCCUGGAGCAAAUGGUGCUCUCUUCUGCUAGACUUCCCAUAAAAGAAUGGGGAAUGGGACAGUGGGUAUCACUCUUUCCCCCACCCUGGCUGCUGUCACAUGGCAACUAGAUCAGAAAGACUCAAGUAGACUCCCAUCAAGCCUCCAGUAAUGAUCUACCACCAGAGCCUUCCUCUAGGUCUUUUAACAUCUUGGGAGUAACAAUGAGUAAUGGGACUUUGGCAUAUGACUAGACUGCCCAAGAUGGUGCUAUCCUCUUAGAAGAUAUGUCAAAUUCCCUUUACAGAGACUGGUUCUCCUUAUCUUACUGGGAUAGAAGUGCUAUUACUGCUGAUUGGUAUGGAAACUUCACCCUGCUCUGUUUCUGACCUGGCCUGGUUCACCCUUCUUUAGGUAACCUGGUGGUUCCCCCCACACAGAGAGAAGAGUGUGGGAAAUUUGGGGAAGAACUUUCCUGGUCAGGAAGAUUAAGAUUUAAUCAAAGAUAGUAAAGAAAUUCUAAGUUUAGGCAAUUGGGUGGAUUCCUGCUCAUUGUGUCUACUCAGACAGGCCUGGGAAAGUGUGGAUUCUCCCUUUUGGCAGACAGGUGAUAUGGAAAUUGAUAAAUCUCUUUGACCAAGAUUUAGGUGCUCAGUGUCACCUACCUCAAGACCCUCAUUGGAAGAAGCCCACCUCUCAUCACAAUGUUCAUUCUCUUAUUACUUAUUAAUGAAUCAGAGUUGAUUCUCACCCUUAGAUGCAUCCCUUUUUCAAAAGACUUUAUAAAUAUUGAAGGUUUGACAGGCUUGGUCUCUUGGCUACAAAGGGGACAAUGAGCCUGUUUUGUCGACUGCUUUCUAGACAUAGUCAAUAAAAUUUAUUCUAACUUACUCAGAAACUCUGUCAGAAAUUUUCAAUCAUCACAGUUGGGAUUUAGAAAUCUGUCUUAACCAAUAGCGAAAUAAAAUGGGA
Vombatus ursinus (common wombat) is the source of this 1009-nucleotide long non-coding RNA. RefSeq lists it as uncharacterized. The transcript is spliced from 3 exons. The record is from RefSeq and is a predicted model, not a curated record. Lineage: Eukaryota; Metazoa; Chordata; Mammalia; Diprotodontia; Vombatidae.